AGCCACUUUUGACAUUCAUUAUUUUCUUCACCUUGUGUACAGAUUCAGAUAACACAAGAAAAGAUGCAGUUCGAACAGAGCCGUUAUUUUUGGAAGGAGAAGGACGCGUGUAUUGGACUCUUGGAGGGUUUUGUAGUAAUUCUAAAAUUAUACUUCAAGAUAUCAGGACUUGGGACUCAGUGAUGCUUGAGGAUAAAUGGUUUACAUAUGUUGAAGAGGAAAAGAACUCAGUUGAGAGACAUAUUUCUUCUUCACGGAGGAACUGGAGGCAAAAGAUGAGUGGCGGUUUUCUGGAACAAGACUCAGAGGAUGUACAUUUGAAGUUGAAGCUUGUAACGCAUGGUGCAGAAUGAGUUCAUGUCAAUGCAGAAUUGGAAGCUCAGUAGACGAGCAAUAUAAUGCAACAACGAUUGGAGUGCUGACUGACGGCCAGUUGAAUUGCUCUUUACACAAAAGGAAUGUGUUGAAUUGCUGUUUACACAACAGCAAAGUGACGGUUUUUUUUUUUGUGUGUCAAUUUUGGCCAACUUAUUUCUUUUUUACACCCGCUAUUCUCUGUUGCAAUUGUUGCCCUGUAAGCUGAAGCUGCGUUGCUUACCGUAGCGUAGCCAGAAAAGAAAAAGAAAAAAUCAUCUUUUUUUGUUUUUUUUAAUUGGGAGAAACAAAGACCUGCCUCUGCUCUGCUGCCCACUGCUCAUGCUUUCUCGGUGCCCUGUUUCUUUUAGGUGACAGCAAAAGCUCAGUUCAUGGUCGAAAUAUAAGCGCACAAGUUGUCA
Molecule: long non-coding RNA, 776 nt
Organism: Musa acuminata AAA Group (dessert banana)
Lineage: Eukaryota; Viridiplantae; Streptophyta; Magnoliopsida; Zingiberales; Musaceae
Exons: 4
Source: RefSeq, a predicted model, not a curated record